RNAcentral lists this ribosomal RNA (2483 nucleotides) under Triticum aestivum (bread wheat). RNAcentral describes it as "partial small subunit ribosomal RNA". Lineage: Eukaryota; Viridiplantae; Streptophyta; Magnoliopsida; Poales; Poaceae. The record is from RNAcentral.
UUUUUGAACUGUUCUUUUCUCUUUAGGAUAAAGGACGAGGUGGGUGGGGUGGCGUAGAUAGGUAGAUUGUCUUUAUCCGCUUUUCCUCUCCCGCGCGAUCAUUUGUUUUUCGCGUCGCCGUUGUCGACACCGUGUCCGUCGUCGCAGUCGGAGUCGGUAUAGUCAGUCAGGUUGGGGGCUGCGCAGAAGUCAGAAGCGGGGGUCGUUCGGUUUCGGAGGCGGAAAGAGGAGGAAAAGGCGGGUUUGUUUGGCGGGGGAGGGGAGGGCAGCGGGAGUGGAGGCGGGAGCGGCCGUCAUCAUAUGCGGGCGGUGGUCGAGGCUGCUGGGCGCGGAAGGGAGUGAGGGCGGCAGCGGCGGAGGGCGCGGGCCAGGGGGCAGGAGGGGAGGCGGCGCCCAAACAAGAUCUCCCACAUAGACUUCAAGAGAGUCGUAGGCUCACGCGUCGAAACAUGUUUUCCUUGGUAAGUCCGGUAGAGUCUGACAGAAGUACCUACUUACUAUUCUAGUGGUCAACGACAGUGAAAUUCAUAGAUGUUCAGUGAGAAAAGUAUUAUAAAGACUCGUCUCCAACCCCUCAGUUCAACAUUCCCACAUUUCUACCUGAUGAGAUUACCAAGAAAGAAAGGAAGUACCGGACUGUUAAGGCGAAGACUCUUAAUAUCGAAACAACUACCAAGUCACCUUAGUAUACGUCUUCUUCCUUCAUACGGUGGACGUCCGAUAAAGUCUCGAUCUAGUUUAGUCUUAAAUUGUAAACUACUCGUACUUGUCUUGGGACGAUACGAACGUUUACCCACGAACGGCAUGUUGUGGGUCUGACUAGAUAAUAGACCACUCUAAGACAGUCUCUUGUUUGGAAGGUUGUCGGAAUACCUCGAAGGUGUUGAAGUCUUGUUACCGUCAGACGUUUCAUUAAAUUAGGGUAGUCCCUGAGAAGUGACGUGAAGUUGUGGACCUUGUAAACUGGACGUCAACCUAUGGGGACCGGAAGAUCUUGAAGGAGUACGGAACAGGUCAAGUUAACUUUCGUUACCAUCACUUCAAAGUCGAAAAGAACGACUACAUGUACGACAAAGAAGUCGGAGUUGAGACACAAGCUGUAAGGUUUUACAAGGAAGGAUGUACCUUGGUCAUUCGGAUCUUCGAAAGUCAAAAGUUCCCUAUGUUUUACGACGAUACAAGUUGUUAUGUUCAGUAAGUUUACCCUUGGACAGUCAUAAACUACUCCGUUGGUACCGUAGUGAUGUACUAUCGUUUCUUAAAGAGUCACCACCGUAGAGUAGAAAACCAUGCCGGCUCGUCAGAGUUGAUCGACCAUCACCAAACUUCCGACUUGUUGUCCUUGUUUUACACUACACGUUAUAAGGCGAGGGAAAGCGAAGACCAUCAGUCUACCGUCACUCACUUCGUGUUCCCUGUGACUAAGGAAGUUUCUAUUCGAGUUGCUAGGUAUUGUUAUUUUCACUCAUGGGACAGGGAUAGUCGGUAAGACGACUACGCGUCUUGUUCCGUUUAAGUCGAUUACCUUUAUCACGGUCACGAUUCGGUGCUCGUUCCCGAGCAGCACCUGUCCGUUGACUGGGAGUAUCAUAACGACUUGCCGAAGCGUCUCUCUUCUAGAGUCUCUCCUACUUUUUAGAGGUUCUGGAACAUGGUUUAAGUUUAUUCCGUCUAUUUAGUAGUUACGAACUACUUUAUUAACUAAUACACUUUAAAGAAGUCGAAGUCCACUUCCAGAAUUCGUACUCAUCCGAUCCUCGAGGGCCCCGUCAAGAAGGGGAGGAACGUCUUAGAGUUUGACUCCCGGUAUCGUUAAGUAGAGAUAGUGGAGGUUGGCGAAGUGUUCCCGAAGACCUACGUCGUCCGGGUCUUCUGUCGAACCAGAAACUCGUUCUUCAAUAUUUCGACUACCUUUGUUCGUAGUGUUUACGUUACGUCAUGGAAGUCUUGUUCCCGGAGACGGACUACGGAUAGCGAGAACGAAGUCGGUAUAGGUUGGUCUUUCCGUGAAGACGUCGACGUCAGGGAGGACUUUCCACUUUUGUCUUUCGUGUAGUACGAGGAGGGUAGCCGGACUCCUUUGUUGACGGCUUUACACGAUCUCAAGUAUCUUCAAUACUCUUUUGAUUUAGGCUCCGACUUCCUAUCCUUCAAUACGCUGAUUAUCAUGUUCGAAUACCAUAUUAGAUCAUCGAAUGAGGUUCUUUGGAUAUGGAAAAGAGAAGAGACAACGUGUAGCCAACUACACAUAAGAAAACAAAAAACCUGCCGUAAGAUUAACCCAUGUUCACAGACCGUGGUGGAACCCAACAUGUACCUAGAUACUCCCAAUAAUGGCUGACAAGUACUACAAUAUACUACUAGUUUCGUCUGGAUCCUUUUGAGCCAACGAAACCCAAAGUGAACCAAUCCCGUUGAGAUUAGAGGAGCUUUGAAUUGAGGGUUUCCUUAUACACAUCAUCGGAGCAAAAAAUAGCUGGGGG